GACGAACGCUGGCGGCGUGCUUAACACAUGCAAGUCGAGCGGUAAGGCCCUUUCGGGGGUACACGAGCGGCGAACGGGUGAGUAACACGUGGGUGACCUGCCCUCAGCUCUGGGAUAAGCCUGGGAAACCGGGUCUAAUACCGGAUAUGACUCCAUGACGCAUGUUGUGGGGUGGAAAGCCUUGUGCGGCUGAGGAUGGGCCCGCGGCCUAUCAGCUUGUUGGUGGGGUGAUGGGCCUACCAAGGCGACGACGGGUAGCCGGCCUGAGAGGGCGACCGGCCACACUGGGACUGAGACACGGCCCAGACUCCUACGGGAGGCAGCAGUGGGGAAUCUUGCGCAAUGGGCGAAAGCCUGACGCAGCGACGCCGCGUGAGGGAUGACGGCCU
RNAcentral lists this ribosomal RNA (389 nucleotides) under uncultured bacterium. RNAcentral describes it as "bacterial SSU rRNA". It matches the Rfam family "Bacterial small subunit ribosomal RNA", at positions 28 to 417 of the family's 1533-position model. The record is from RNAcentral.